UCAGGCCUAACACAUGCAAGUCGAGCGGGGUUUUAAACAAUAGCGGCGGACGGGUGAGUAAUGCGUAGGAAGCUACCCGAUAGAGGGGGAUACCAGUUGGGAACGACUGUUAAUACCGCAUAAUGUCUACGGACCAAAGUGUGGGACCUUCGGGCCACAUGCUAUCGGAUGCGCCUACGUGGGAUUAGCUAGUUGGUGAGGUAAUGGCUCACCAAGGCGACGAUCCCUGGCUGGUUUGAGAGGAUGAUCAGCCACACUGGAAGUGAGACACGGUCCAGACUCCUACGGGAGGCAGCAGUGGGGAAUAUUGGACAAUGGGCGCAAGCCUUUUUUUGAGAUGCCGCGUGUGUGAAGAA
RNAcentral lists this ribosomal RNA (356 nucleotides) under uncultured bacterium. RNAcentral describes it as "bacterial SSU rRNA". It matches the Rfam family "Bacterial small subunit ribosomal RNA", at positions 42 to 412 of the family's 1533-position model. The record is from RNAcentral.